GAAAUAGGAAAAGCAUGGCGAGAAUGGCAUGAAGUGAAGAAGUGAGGGAAUGGAGGUGGGACCAAGUGAGAGAAUGUGGGAUGACAGAUGCAGGAAAACAUGAAUAAAUAAUAGUAGACAAUGACGACGACGUGGAAGAGUUGAAGGCGUUGAUCGAUGGAAGUCGAGGAUCGAAUAUUCACUUUUAUUUUUCCAUAAUAUUAAUAUGAAAAAAAUAUUAAAUGUUUCAAUCUGCCUCACUUCUCGGAACUCAACUGCUAAUGGUCGUCGGUUUCACUUAAUGCCUUCCUGAAUCUCUCUCGCUCUCUAGUUUAUAAUUAGAAGCAGUGUCGAACAAACCAGUGGUUUGGUGUGGGGUGUGGACUGUGGAGUAGUGGGAGCAUAUCAUCAUCAUCAUCCAUCAGAGUGCUGAGAAUUCGGAAGGCGAAGAUGGAGGUUGGGUUCUUAGGGCUUGGGAUCAUGGGCAAGGCAAUGUCCAUGAAUCUCCUCCGCAAUGGCUUCAAGGUCACCGUCUGGAACAGGACUCUCUCUAAGUGCGAAGAGCUUGUGGAGCAUGGUGCCUCCAUUGGAGAAACCCCUGCAGAAGUUGUGAAGAAGUGCAAGUACACCAUAGCAAUGCUAUCAGAUCCUUCAGCUGCUCUGUCGGUGGUUUUUGACAAGGAUGGUGUGCUUGAGCAAAUGUGCAGCGGAAAAGGCUACAUAGACAUGUCAACGGUAGAUGCUGAUACAUCAAUAAAGAUCAGUGAGGUAAUUACAAAAAAGGGAGGUUACUUCCUUGAAGCUCCUGUCUCAGGUAGCAAAAAGCCAGCUGAAGACGGUCAAUUAGUCAUUCUCGCCGCUGGGGAAAUGUCCUUAUAUGAUGAAGCCAUCCCUGCUUUCAAUGUCAUGGGAAAGAAGUCUUUCUUUUUGGGGCAGGUUGGCAAUGGGGCAAAGAUGAAACUUGUGGUUAACAUGAUAAUGGGCAGCAUGAUGAAUGCAUUUUCUGAGGGGCUGGUCCUUUCUGACAGAAGUGGACUGAGCCAGCAAACACUUCUUGACGUAUUGGAAUUGGGUGCUAUUGCUACUCCAAUGUUCAAGAUGAAAGGACCAGCUAUGAUCCAGAACAAUUAUGCCCCUGCUUUUCCUCUGAAGCAUCAGCAGAAGGAUAUGAGAUUAGCUCUUGCACUGGGGGACGAAAAUGGGGUAUCAAUGCCUGUAGCUGCAGCUGCGAAUGAGCUUGACAAGCGAAGAUAAACCACGAAAUCCCAAGCUCUUCACCCUUCUAUUGGGACCUCAUUUGGACCUAGUGCCUUGCCUAUUUUCAUCCUCCUUAAAGCUUCUUUCAAUUGAGGCAUUCAAGAAAGCAAGAAGUAUGGGAUUUGGGGACCAUGAUUUCUCAGCGAUCUAUGAGACGGUGAAGACUUUAGGACAUUCUAAAUAAUGCAAUUGGCAAGAGUAAUGUGAAUAAAAAAGAGACUAAAGAUCUGAUUUGUGGUGGCUCAUGAUACUGGAAUUGAGUCUCCUUUAUUUGACCCAAAUUUUUUUUUUUUUUUUUUUUUUUUUUUUAUUGUCUUUCAUUCAAGCAUGUCAUGAUUUAUGUUGUAUAUCUAGCGCAUACGUUGAGUUUGAGACCUAAUAUUUGAUGUUAAUAUACUUGGAUCACCUUGCA
This is an RNA transcript of Macadamia integrifolia, 1648 nucleotides long. It is a transcript of the gene named glyoxylate/succinic semialdehyde reductase 1, with no coding region annotated. Lineage: Eukaryota; Viridiplantae; Streptophyta; Magnoliopsida; Proteales; Proteaceae. The record is from RefSeq and is a predicted model, not a curated record. The transcript has 9 exons.